GACGAACGCUGGCGGCGUGCUUAACACAUGCAAGUCGAACGGGCCUGUCUUCUUUUUUGGGGGUGGGUUGAGUGGCGAACGGGUGAGUAUCACGUGAGUAACCUGCCCUUCGGUCCUGGAUAACCGCUUGAAAGGGCGGCUAAUACGGGGUGGUCCGGUUGGUCCGCAUGGGCUGGUCGGGAUAGAUUCACUGUUUUUGGUGUUUCGGCGGGGGAUGGGCUCGCGGCCUAUCAGCUUGUUGGUGGGGUGAUGGCCUACCAAGGCGGUGACGGGUAGCCGGCCUGGGAGGGUGGGCGGCCACACUGGGACUGAGAUACGGCCCAGGCGCCUGCGGGAGGCAGCAGUGGGGGGUAUUGCACAAUGGGCGGAAGCCUGAUGCAGCGACGUCGCGUGAGGGAUGGAGGCCUUCGGGUUGUGAACCUCUGUUUCCGGUGGUGAAGGCCCUGUCCGUGUGGUGGGGUUGACGGUAGCCGGGGAUGAAGCGCCGGCUAACUACGUG
Molecule: ribosomal RNA, 499 nt
Filed under: uncultured bacterium
Lineage: Bacteria
Description: partial 16S ribosomal RNA
Rfam family: Bacterial small subunit ribosomal RNA
Source: RNAcentral